UUUAAAUGAAUUCCUCCUUUACCAUGUAGCAGCGUGAGAUAUUUGAAAUGCUGUGGGUGGGAAGUGCGCGUGGUGCGGGAGAAAACGCCCGAGGCUGUGAGGAUUCCUGCGUUAUAAUAUUGAGUUAAGUUUUUAAAUUAAUAUUUUUCUGUUCUAUUAUUUGUCUUUGACAUGUUAGCUCUGAUUUGAUGUAUAUGUUUGCCCAAAAUGAUGAUCCAAAUCUGUAAGUAAAGACAUUGUGAGCUAACAUUACAUUUGCCUAACUUAGUGUUUUGCUUCGCCCAGGGAAAAUGUUAGGAUUUUUUUUUAGUAGUAGUAGAAAUAGUAGAUUAUAAUAAUAGUAUUUGCGCAACUAAUUAAUUGACCUGGCAAACAACUAUCAACCACUAAUAAUGCUGUAAAAAUGUUUCUCCCCUUUGGACCUGCUUUUCAAUGUUGUUUGAUGACUGAGGACACUUUACAAUACAUGGUAAGUCAUUUCUAUAAAAACCGAUAUAGUUGUUAAUAGAUAAUGAAUUACUAAUGUCCAAACCAGAUGUUCAUUAACUCACCUUUAUGCCAUCCCAAAUGCAUGUGACUUUUGUGUUUUGUUUUGCCUGUGUUCCCAUGUGUUAUUUUUUCAGAAAAAGUAUACAUUUGUUUAUUUUGUAGUCAUUCUAGCAAAAGGCGAUGAAACUGGUUUGUUUUAUGUGCACAACUUUAGGAUAACCAGACAGAUGAUUGUGAGGGUGACCCUGAGCAGCUCUUCGUGGUGUUCAUUAUUCUGAAGGAGGGGGAGAACUUCAUGAACUGCCUGCUGACAUUGGCAUUGUGAUCGAGGGAGUUAAAGUUUUGAAUCAACUCACUUCAGUCACAUCAGCUUGUGCCCUGCUUCUGGAUGCCUUACAGCAAGUGAGGGCUGAAAAAAGGAGGCCUCAAAGUUUGUAUUUGCUGUUUCUGCAAAACUGGCUCCAUUUAUGCUCCUGAUCAGUUUUCGGGCAUUGCUCGUGGUGGAAAUCCCUGAGUUCAUCAGAGUAUCAAUUUAAUGAAUAAGGACAUACUUUUUGCAUUAGAAGAGUAGCUUCAAUCCUUAAAGCUUCAAGUCCGGAACAGUGAACUGUGGUAGUGUUUCAGUCUGUAGUACUGUGUUUCUGUCUUCACUGGUGAGUUUCCAUUUGUAUUUACUUACAAUGUACAGAUGCAGAUUGCAUUUAUGUUGUCACAGUUUUCCAGGCUCUUUUUCCAAUGACUAAAAUGCAUGUUUGAGCUAUUUUAACUGAAAGUAACUUGCACUGACAUCUUACAAUUUGUCUGUGCUAUUGUUUUGUCUCAAGAUGAAUGCCAAUAAUGUGUUUUUUUUUUUUUUUUUUUUUAACUACUUAAUUGAACCAGAGAGGUUUGUGUUCAUUGAUUGUGAUUGUUAAUCUCAGUUUAGAAGAAAAGAGACUUAGGUUUUCCUUUUAAGUUGUUAAUGUUGAAAUGAAUGCAUGUUGUGCAGAUUUAGAUAUGUAUUUUGCACUGUUCCCUUCAUAUUUUUGUCAGACAUUGUUACUGGAUAAAUUUAGAUAUUUUGUACCAAAGCAACUGAAAGGACAUACAGUAACAGAACAGCAUUAAAAUGAGAUCAAUUUGUGAAGGAUUAUUUAUGCUUAUACAUAUGAAGAGACAUUAUUCAAUAUAAAUGAUAACAUUAUAUUUUGUUCAAUAAAAAAAAAAUAUUUA
This is a long non-coding RNA of Megalobrama amblycephala (Wuchang bream), 1701 nucleotides long. RefSeq lists it as uncharacterized. NCBI's taxonomy places the organism in Eukaryota, Metazoa, Chordata, Actinopteri, Cypriniformes, Xenocyprididae. The record is from RefSeq and is a predicted model, not a curated record. The transcript has 3 exons.